CGCGUAGGUGGUAGUGUAAGUCUGGGGUGGAAUGCCGGGGCUUAACCCUGGAAUUGCCUUGGAAACUGCAUUACUUGAGUCAGUGAGGGGAGGGUAGAAUUCCUGGUGUAGCGGUGAAAUGCGUAGAUAUCAGGAGGAAGGCCUGUGGCGAAGGCGGCCCUCUGGUGCUGGACUGACACUGAGGCGCGAAAGCGUGGGGAGCAAACAGGAUUAGAUACCCUGGUAGUCCACGCCCUAAACGGUGGGCACUAGGUGUAGGGCUCGUAAGGGUUCUGUGCCGAAGGGAAACCAUUAAGUGCCCCGCCUGGGGAGUACGGCCGCAAGGUUGAAA
This 331-nucleotide ribosomal RNA is filed under the name uncultured bacterium. Its description in RNAcentral is "bacterial SSU rRNA". It matches the Rfam family "Bacterial small subunit ribosomal RNA", at positions 568 to 899 of the family's 1533-position model. The record is from RNAcentral.